Long non-coding RNA from Equus caballus (horse), 1757 nucleotides. Lineage: Eukaryota; Metazoa; Chordata; Mammalia; Perissodactyla; Equidae. The record is from Ensembl.
AUCAGCAAGGUUUAAAAGCUACCCAGGUGAUUGCAAUGCACAGCCCAGGAGGAGAACCACUGACUUAAGCAAAUCUAAAUGGGGAUUUUGUUCCCCUAACUCAGCAUCCAAACCUGCCUCACCACACCACAGCCUAUUUGAGAAAAAGCCAGAGGGAUAUCGCAGCACCCUCUUUGGACUGAGUGGUUUAAUACGCCCCUGUGAAGAUAGUCAGACUGCCAGCAGACCACUCAGGACAUGCUCCUCCUGACCUGCACCUUCCGUCACAGCUUGGGCCUGCUACCUGGACUCAAGACAGAAAAACAGCCCUGCAGGGAAAAGCGGACAUGACUAGAUGAUACGAACACAACGGACUCUUGCAUAAUGCACUACAGUUUCCCAGGAGCACCGUGCAUCUAUUUUCUUGCUUCUUUUCAUGCUCCAAUUCACAGUUCUAGAGGUCCUGGGCCCCCACCCUAUCCAGCACUAGAACUGGACUCAGAGGAAGAUAUAACCUAGAGUAGGGAGCAAACAGUUGAAAAAGGAGCUGCUUGGGGAGAGAAAAAAGAGAUUGCAAAAGAGAGGGUCUCAGGGAUAACUCUGCUCUUGGAACAGUGGCCACAGGAAAUGUGGACCCCCAGAGUCAUGAACAAGCUGAAAAGACCAGAGAAGCCGCACCCAGUCAAUGCUUCGCUGUGGAUUUUGUGUUGGUCAAGAAAUAUCGCCUGCCAAAAUUCCCCUAGAACAUUCUCUCUGACUCCAUGUAGGUGCUUGGCUAGUAAAUGGGAAUGCCAUUUUGUUUUAGAUUGUGCCACCCCCUCUUCCAAAACAAGGGGAGAAAUGAUGGGUCUAUAUUGUAAAUUUCCUACCUUAUUAAACAUGGGGACAUGGAAAGCUAAGCAAAGAGAAGAGCUGAGACUUUUACCUAAUCAUCCCUGUCUACAGAAUGUUUGCUAAUUCCUUGUCAAGGAGUGAAUGACAAAGCCAGCCCACAUUUUGUGUAGGAUGUGUCUAGUUAGUUAUAGUUUAAAAUGUAAGUUUUAUGAAUUCACUUAAUUAGUUACUUGUAGUGAAAAAUGAGCCAUUCUCAGGCAAAUCACUUUUUAUUACAAAUUCCAUAUAAGAAUCAUAAAAGGACAUGUAACAUAGCAAAAAAAACUACAUCUGGAUGGGACGCUAAUCACUAGCUAUUGACUCAAUCGACGCCCAGAAAAGGACAGUUCAUCUUUUAUUUCAGUCAUUAUUAAAAGAAGUGGCUGAAGUGCUUGUUCAAAUCUUUAGAUCAUUUUCUAUUGGAUUGUUUUCCUUUUAUUGAUUUAUAAAAACUCUUUAUAUAUUCUGCAUACAAAGACUUUAUCUGAUAUGCAUUUUGCAAAUAUUUUCUCUCACUGUGUGGUUUAUCUUUUAAUUCUCUUGAUAGUGUCUUGUAAUUCUUAUGAAGUUCAAUUUAUCCAUUUUUUUCUUUCACACUUUUGUGGGGGUUUUUUGUCCUAAGUCUAAGCAAACUAAUAAAAAAGAUUAGUUCCUAUAUCUUUUUCUAGAAGUUUUAUAGUUUUAGGUUUUGAUUUUAGGUCUUUGAUGCAUUUCAGAUGGCUGAUAAGCAGAUAAAAAGAUCUUCACCAUCUUUAGCCAUUAGGGAAAUGUGCAUUAAAACCAAAUGGAACUACCACUAUACUCAUAUUAGAAAGGCUAAAAUUAAGAAGAAAAAAACCUGACCAUACCAAGGGCUGCUGAAGAUGAAGAGCAACUGGAAUUCUCACAUAGUGCUCGUGGAAAUG